This is a long non-coding RNA of Carcharodon carcharias (great white shark), 735 nucleotides long. RefSeq lists it as uncharacterized. The record is from RefSeq and is a predicted model, not a curated record. NCBI's taxonomy places the organism in Eukaryota, Metazoa, Chordata, Chondrichthyes, Lamniformes, Lamnidae. The transcript has 4 exons.
UUUCUUCAUUAAAAAAAAUCUAUAUUGUUAAGAAAAUAUCAACUAAAAAGGGAAAAUCAGAAACAGCUGGGAAACAGAUCAACCAGUGAAAUCUUCUACAUCUGUAUUCGAUUUGUGAAAGUUUCACAUCCUUGCAGCACUGUUCAGUGUAAAUGGUAAAAUGGCAUGAUUGUCAUGGAAGGACAUCUUGUUCCAAAAAAAGUGAAAAGCUGCUUUGAUCAAGUACCUUGACAGCUUGAAAUUUUUCAGACUUCACUCAGCCAUGAUUCCUAAAUACUCCCUGAUGGGACCGUUUAAGGGACAUAUGUGCACAAAGAGCAGCCGGUCAAGAGGCACAGGAGUGUUCUCCUACGCCCACAAACAAACUGAGCCAUUGCUGGGUAUUUGAAGCCUCCCUUGGAUCAGGCCAUUUCCCAAAUCCACUUUGGCUGGAUUUCAGCAUGGGAACUGGCUGAUUUCCUACCUUAGCACCUCCGCUGCAGCGGAUUGCUUACUUGGCGCUUGGAGCUCGGUGGAAGCAGUCAAAUAAUGCCUGAACCGAGAGUGGUUUGGGCCUCCUGAAGCCAUGAAGCUGCAGCUUUGGGAAGGCACAACCAUUCUUCUUGCCUGGUUUGGGCGGAAGUUGAAGAUCAGACCUGGAAUUUCAAUUACAGAGAAUAAAAUGGCAGAAAAAGAUUUUUCUCAAAAAUAUUUUGAGUGGUUUAAUUGAUGUACCUUUUUAUUAGUAUGGCCCCA